CCCGCCCAAACUGGCGCCUAGAUGCAGCUCGGUAAAGAGCACCAUCCGAUCAGCGGCGCCGUAGUUUGAAUGCCUUGAGGCCGGCCAGGUAGUGCUCGGAGGAUGCGAUAGGUGGUCAUUGGGUUCGAACCCGAAGUAAGGAUGGACUUACCGGACAAAAUGCGCCCGGAGUUUGCUUUUUUAUCAUUCAUCAUCAGCAUUCCCCAUCUAGAAUGGUUUGGAAUGGAAGAAGCAAACAAGUGCGCAGCUUAGGGGAAGUUUCUGCUUCAAGCGGAUUACUAUGAUACGAUGUUGCAGAUCCUCUAAUACAGUUCACCGUAGCCCCAUCUCUGGGGGAUUCCUGAUCUCCAGGAACUAGCAGUUGCUUUCCUGUCCCGUUCGAAGAUGAUAUGUGUCAGCCUGAAAGGCCUUACCGUUCUAGUACAAGGACACCACACUAGAACAGUGUACUAUACCUAUACGACAUCCCCGGUACAAAUGGAAAAGGUUUCCCCGCGUUAGCCGUGACGAGACACUGUACCAUCAGUGAGAAGAGAACGCUUGUAUAGACCUUGAAUCUAUAAACAUACUUUAUGAUCAAUGUAGACACUUUGUCAAAAUGUGUUGAGAAGAAUACUUACUACAAUAUUGUUCGAUUAGUGUUCUGCAUACCUCAUGCUUAACAUUUUCAUCCUAGUUAUACGCAUUAGCCUCUCUCCAUUCUAUCUUAUUUUGUGACCUUUGUUCGUGAAACUGUAUGUGAAUCCAAUAAAGGUAGAAGACAACGAUACUUCUAUUAAAGCUUAUUUCAAUAGAAACUAUUGAAAUAGAAUA
Long non-coding RNA from Varroa destructor (honeybee mite), 813 nucleotides. RefSeq lists it as uncharacterized. The record is from RefSeq and is a predicted model, not a curated record. Lineage: Eukaryota; Metazoa; Arthropoda; Arachnida; Mesostigmata; Varroidae.